GAGUUUGAUCGUGGCUCAGAUUGAACGCUGGCGGCAUGCCUUACACAUGCAAGUCGAACGGCAGCAUGAUCUAGCUUGCUAGAUUGAUGGCGAGUGGCGAACGGGUGAGUAAUACAUCGGAACGUGCCCUGUAGUGGGGGAUAACUAGUCGAAAGAUUAGCUAAUACCGCAUACGACCUGAGGGUGAAAGUGGGGGACCGGCAAGGCCUCAUGCUAUAGGAGCGGCCGAUGUCUGAUUAGCUAGUUGGUGGGGUAAAGGCCCACCAAGGCGACGAUCAGUAGCUGGUCUGAGAGGACGAUCAGCCACACUGGGACUGAGACACGGCCCAGACUCCUACGGGAGGCAGCAGUGGGGAAUUUUGGACAAUGGGCGAAAGCCUGAUCCAGCAAUGCCGCGUGUGUGAGAA
RNAcentral lists this ribosomal RNA (407 nucleotides) under uncultured microorganism. RNAcentral's name for it is "bacterial SSU rRNA". It matches the Rfam family "Bacterial small subunit ribosomal RNA", at positions 9 to 411 of the family's 1533-position model. The record is from RNAcentral.